CCUACGGGGCGAGMAGGGGCGAAACCUCCGCAAUGCGAGCAAUCGCGACGGGGGGACCCCAAGUGCCACUCUUAACGGGGUGGCUUUUCUUAAGUGUAAAAAGCUUUUGGAAUAAGGGCUGGGCAAGACCGGUGCCAGCCGCCGCGGUAACACCGGCAGCUCUAGUGGUAGCCAUUUUUAUUGGGCCUAAAGCGUUCGUAGCCGGUUUGAUAAGUCUCUGGUGAAAUCCUAUAGCUUAACUGUGGGACUUGCUGGAGAUACUAUUAGACUUGAGGUCGGGAGAGGUUAGCGGUACUCCCAGGGUAGGGGUGAAAUCCUGUAAUCCUGGGAGGACCACCUGUGGCGAAGGCGGCUAACUGGAACGAACCUGACGGUGAGGGACGAAAGCCAGGGGCGCGAACCGGAUUAGAUACCCGGGUAGUCCUGGCCGUAAACGAUGUGGACUUGGUGUUGGAAUGGCUUCGAGCUGCUCCAGUGCCGAARGGAAGCUGKUWARKCCMCCSCCUGGGAAGUACG
RNAcentral lists this ribosomal RNA (516 nucleotides) under uncultured Methanobacterium sp. Its description in RNAcentral is "bacterial SSU rRNA". It matches the Rfam family "Archaeal small subunit ribosomal RNA", at positions 322 to 839 of the family's 1478-position model. Lineage: Archaea; Methanobacteriati; Methanobacteriota; Methanobacteria; Methanobacteriales; Methanobacteriaceae. The record is from RNAcentral.